Molecule: long non-coding RNA, 650 nt
Organism: Sycon ciliatum
Lineage: Eukaryota; Metazoa; Porifera; Calcarea; Leucosolenida; Sycettidae
Exons: 3
Source: RefSeq, a predicted model, not a curated record
CGUAAACACUACCAGACUGCUAGGUGAAAAUGCAACCUUCUACGUCACCCUGAAACAAACACCCUAUCCGAUGCCAGCAAUCACAUGGACGCACAACGGAUCUCCGAUCAACACAAGCUCCCACAGGAUGCUAUUGUCCAGUAGUGGCUUGUCGUUGACACUGACGAAUUUGCUGCCCCGAGACAGGGGAGUCUACAAAAUCUUGAUGAGCAACUCCGGAGGAAGUGACAACCGGACGUUCUCCAUGGAUAUUCUGUUGCCACCAAUCGUGGACACGUUCUCAGCCAUAAACACCACCAGACUGCUAGGUGAAAAUGCCACCUUCCACGUCACCCUGAAACAUACACCCAAUCCAAUGCCAGACAUCACAUGGACGCACGACGGAUCUCCGAUCAACACAAGCUCCCACAGAAUGCAAUUGUCCAGUAGUGGCUUGUCCUUGACACUGACGAAUUUGCUGCCCCGGGACAGGGGAGUCUACAAAAUCUUGAUGAGCAACUCCGAAGGAAGUGACAACCGGACGUUCUCCAUGGAUAUUCUGUUUCCUCCAGUCGUCUUACAUAACUCUGUGUUGAACAAUACCAGACAACUUGGAGACAAUAUCACCUUCACGAUCUACCUGACCCAAUCAUCGAAUCCAUCCCCAAACU